Molecule: ribosomal RNA, 280 nt
Filed under: uncultured Thermofilaceae archaeon
Lineage: Archaea; Thermoproteati; Thermoproteota; Thermoprotei; Thermofilales; Thermofilaceae
Description: partial 16S ribosomal RNA
Rfam family: Archaeal small subunit ribosomal RNA
Source: RNAcentral
AAGUGUCCUGUUAAGUCAGGCAACGAGCGAGACCCUCGCUGCCAGUUGCUUCUAUGUUCCGAAAGGUACAUAGAGGAAACUGGUGGGACCGCCGCCGAUAAGGCGGAGGAAGGAGGGGGCUACGGCAGGUCAGUAUGCCCCGAAACCCCUGGGCCACACGCGGGCUGCAAUGGUGGGGACAAUGGGAUCCGAUCCCGAAAGGGGGAGGUAAUCCCGAACCCCCACCUUAGUUGGGAUCGAGGGCUGGAACCCGCCCUCGUGAACCUGGAAUCCCUAGAAU